UAUGUUUGCAGGUAAGACAUUGAGUACAAAAGAAAUCAGCGAUAGAUGAUAUUAAGCGUAUAGUAAGUACGUCGCCUUCUUUUGGGGAUCACGGAUCCUUUGAGUUCCU
RNAcentral lists this non-coding RNA (109 nucleotides) under unclassified sequences. RNAcentral describes it as "DUF3800-I RNA". It matches the Rfam family "DUF3800-I RNA". Rfam says of the family: Actinobacteria, Firmicutes, Fusobacteria, Proteobacteria (1 example), Tenericutes (2 examples). Terminator (Clostridia) The record is from Rfam by way of RNAcentral.